UUUUUUUUUCUUUUUUUUUUACAAAAUACAACAAAGCAUACCCAUUAGUUUGAAUCCUUUUUAAAUCCAUAUCUUUCACUUUUCCAUGCAAGCUUGCCCACAAAUAAUUCUGUCAUGUUUAAAAUUUUUCUCUUCAAAUUAGUAACACUUUUCAUCUUGAGUAGCUGUAGUCUGACUUUGAAGCAUUUUCAUAUGUUGCUCUCCUUCAUUCAUCUUUCCUACCCUGCUGGCGCUCACCUUUUCCAAUAGAAUUUAAUUCUAGAGGGAUCGUUAAAAUAACUAUUAUUGUUUCAAUUCAGCAACAGAAAUUUUGGUCCCUUCAAUGGAUCCAACCAAUUCAAAUGCUUGUAAGUACAUGCCUUUGUUUUUUUUCAACUGGAAUGCUAAAUUUCCUCUCAUAGAUAUAACAGUAUACAAGUCUCCUGUUACGUGUUGUCCCUAUUAUCACCAGAAAAAAAAAAUGUGUUACGAUUACUAUUAUUAUUAUUUGUUUCUUUAGAAAGUUUUUAGAUUAUAUUUUUUUAGUUUUUGAAUCAGUGAAUGUUUUUCAAGAACAAAUGCUUUCAGAAAGGGAGAAUUUGAAAAAAAAAAAAAAAUCAAAGCAUGCUAUAAAUGCAAGAAAAAAAAAAAUGGCACCAUUCUCUAAUUAUUGGCUUUGAAUUGUCCUUGUUGCAAUCAGGAAUUUGUUAGUAUUUUGUAGCAUGCUUCUUUCACUUAGAAAGUUUUAUCCACCACUCCCAUGCUAUGCACAGCACCACUGUGCAUAUUGGAUAAAUAAUAACAAAACAAAACAAUACAUCACGUACAGAAGAGCUAUCAGCCAAACAAAUAUACAUCGAUCUGUAAUUGCUAGGGUGUGGGGAAAAUAUAGAAUCAUUUGAAUAUUAGAUCAAUAUCUCAUCAGAUGUUUUGAGCCAUCUCACCAAACAGUGCAUCUCUUUCUGUCUCCUUCUCCCCUUUCCGUCUUUUAUUCUCUCUCUCUCUCUCUCUCUCUUCUUUCUCUCCCUUACUGUCCUUGAAAUUCUGCAGCAGAUGAAAACAAUAUACAAUGUAUAAAUUAUUGAUUGGGAAACUUAUUUAAUCUUAGGUACACUGCAAUGCAACAAGUCCUUUCAUAGAAUACACAAGCUAGGAUAUAGAAAAAGAUCCAAAAUAUUGGUCCAUAACUGAGAAAUACAAAUAUAAAGGAUAAAGAAUGAAUUGUUGUUUUCAAUUCUUUAAUUCAAGAAUUUUGCUAUUCCAAGAUAAUUCAAUCUUCUUUGGUUUAGAGAAAGGACAAUUAUUACAUCUAAUCCAUCAUCUAUCUAUCUGGAAUUCUAGCAAAUGAGAAACAUGCUUUUUGUAUCAAUCAAGAUGUUUAACAACUGGUCCUCUUGGUUUUAGAACUAAAAAAUAACUUGAUCUCUCAUUUGUUGUUUUAAAGUUUUGCAACCUAAUUACAUGAACCAGAGCUAAAUAGGUAACAGUUUUAGUAACAAGAACAGAAUAUCUUUUAUUGAGUUUAAUAUUUUUUUAAAAUCACUUUUAAGAUGUGGGUUUUUUCAUGUUAAAUGAAUUAUCUUUUAUUUUUCAUUUUAUGUACACUUUUUUUAAUGACUUCACUCCACAUUCUAUAAUUCUUAAUUCUUAUCUGAGUUAUUCCACACCAUUGGACUGUUGCCAAACACUACACUUUUUCGCAUUGGAUUCUUUUAUUCUUGAAUCCUGAAUAUCUUUCCAUUUCACUAAGUAAUCAUGAAAUAGACCCAGUACUAAAAACACACAGAACUAUAAUCAAAAAUAUAAAGGUUUUAUUUUGCUCCUCAUUCAUCUAAUUUUUCUAUUAGAACUUAGAAUUUCACAAGAAUGAAAGAUGCACAUAUAAAUUCAUGUUAUGUGUCAUAUAGUUGUUACAUUCAUUUUAUUUUUAAAUUUUGCUCACAGAUACACAUACAUGCACACAUGCAUAUACAUUUACCCAUACAUACACAUUUUAUCACAUGAAUGCAUGCCGUUUCUUCUUAACUAUUAUAAUUUCAUCAUGCCUUUCUUCUUUCUACACUCAAAAAUUCUUGUAUAUCACUUUAUUCACUUCUUUAUUUCUUAAGUCAAGUCCCCCCAACCUGAGAUAUACAAUACACACGUGCAUGUGUUCAAACGUACACAUAUUCCUUGGAAAAUUACAAAAGUAAAAAAAAAAAUUUAAAAAAAA
RNAcentral lists this long non-coding RNA (2191 nucleotides) under Octopus vulgaris (common octopus). The record is from RNAcentral. Lineage: Eukaryota; Metazoa; Mollusca; Cephalopoda; Octopoda; Octopodidae.